GGUUAAGUUAAUAAGGGCGCACGGUGGAUGCCUUGGCACUAGAAGCCGAUGAAGGACGUGACUAACGACGAAAUGCUUUGGGGAGCUGUAAGUGAGCAAUGAUCCAGAGAUGUCCGAAUGGGGGAACCCGGCAGGUAAUGCCUGUCACUCAUUACUGUUAAGGUAAUGUAGAGGAAGACGCAGUGAACUGAAACAUCUAAGUAGCUGCAGGAAGAGAAAGCAAAAGCGAUUGCCUUAGUAGCGGCGAGCGAAACGGCAAGAGGGCAAACCGAAGAGUUUACUCUUCGGGGUUGUAGGACUGCAACGUGGACUUAAAGAUUAUAGAAGAACUACCUGGGAAGGUAGGCCAAAGAGAGUAAUAGCCUCGUAUUCGAAAUAGUCUUUAUACCUAGCAGUAUCCUGAGUACGGCGAGACACGAGAAAUCUCGUCGGAAUCCGGGAGGACCAUCUCCCAACCCUAAAUACUCUCUAGUGACCGAUAGUGAACCAGUACCGUGAGGGAAAGGUGAAAAGCACCCCGGGAGGGGAGUGAAAUAGAACCUGAAACCGUGUGCCUACAACAAGUUCGAGCCCGUUAAUGGGUGAGAGCGUGCCUUUUGUAGAAUGAACCGGCGAGUUACGAUAUGAUGCGAGGUUAAGUUGAAGAGACGGAGCCGUAGGGAAACCGAGUCUUAAUAGGGCGCAUUAGUAUCAUGUCGUAGACCCGAAACCAUGUGACCUACCCAUGAGCAGGUUGAAGGUGAGGUAAAACUCACUGGAGGACCGAACCAGGGCACGUUGAAAAGUGCUUGGAUGACUUGUGGGUAGCGGAGAAAUUCCAAACGAACUUGGAGAUAGCUGGUUCUCUCCGAAAUAGCUUUAGGGCUAGCGUCGAUGUUAAGUCUCUUGGAGGUAGAGCACUGUUUGGGUGAGGGGUCCAUCCCGGAUUACCAAUCUCAGAUAAACUCCGAAUGCCAAUGAGAUAUAAUCGGCAGUCAGACUGCGAGUGCUAAGAUCCGUAGUCGAAAGGGAAACAGCCCAGACCACCAGCUAAGGUCCCAAAAUAUAUGUUAAGUGGAAAAGGAUGUGGGGUUGCACAGACAACUAGGCCCUGCGCCGAAAAUGUACCGGGGCUAAAACAUAUUACCGAAGCUGUGGAUACCUUUAUAGGUAUGGUAGGAGAGCGUUCUAUGUGCGAAGAAGGUGUACCGUGAGGAGUGCUGGAGCGCAUAGAAGUGAGAAUGCCGGUAUGAGUAGCGAAAGACAGGUGAGAAUCCUGUCCACCGUAAGACUAAGGUUUCCAGGGGAAGGCUCGUCCGCCCUGGGUUAGUCGGGACCUAAGGAGAGACCGAAAGGUGUAUCCGAUGGACAACAGGUUGAUAUUCCUGUACUAGAGUAUAUAGUGAUGGAGGGACGCAGUAGGCUAACUAAACCAGACGAUUGGAAGUGUCUGGCCAAGCAGUGAGGUGUGAUAUGAGUCAAAUGCUUAUAUCUAUAACAUUGAGCUGUGAUGGGGAGCGAAGUUUAGUAGCGAAGUUAGUGAUGUCACACUGCCAAGAAAAGCUUCUAGCGUUAAUUAUACUCUACCCGUACCGCAAACCGACACAGGUAGUCGAGGCGAGUAGCCUCAGGUGAGCGAGAGAACUCUCGUUAAGGAACUCGGCAAAAUGGCCCCGUAACUUCGGGAGAAGGGGCGCUGACUUAUGGUCAGCCGCAGUGAAUAGGCCCAAGCAACUGUUUAUCAAAAACACAGCUCUCUGCUAAAUCGUAAGAUGAUGUAUAGGGGGUGACGCCUGCCCGGUGCUGGAAGGUUAAGAGGAGUGCUUAGCGUAAGCGAAGGUAUGAAUUGAAGCCCCAGUAAACGGCGGCCGUAACUAUAACGGUCCUAAGGUAGCGAAAUUCCUUGUCGGGUAAGUUCCGACCCGCACGAAAGGCGUAAUGAUUUGGGCACUGUCUCAACGAGAGACUCGGUGAAAUUUUAGUACCUGUGAAGAUGCAGGUUACCCGCGACAGGACGGAAAGACCCCAUGGAGCUUUAC
This 2018-nucleotide ribosomal RNA is filed under the name Streptococcus sp. RNAcentral describes it as "partial 23S ribosomal RNA". It matches the Rfam family "Bacterial large subunit ribosomal RNA", at positions 1 to 2104 of the family's 2925-position model. The record is from RNAcentral. Lineage: Bacteria; Bacillati; Bacillota; Bacilli; Lactobacillales; Streptococcaceae.